ACAAAGUUGAAAAAUGCUCGUAAAUUCUUAGAAAAAGGCGACAAAGUAAAAGCAGCUGUUCGUUUCCGUGGACGUGCGAUUACUCACAAAGAGCUUGGCCGUGAUGUAUUAGAUCGUUUAGCUGAAGAAGUUAAAGAUAUUUCUACAAUCGAGUCUAAGCCAAAAAUGGAAGGUCGUAACAUGUUUAUGAUCCUUGCACCAACAACUGAAAAAUAAUAUUUAUUGAUGCUUACAAGGAGGAAAUCAUCAUGCCAAAAAUGAAAACCCAUAAAGGUUCUGCUAAACGUUUCAAAAGAACUGGUACUGGAAAACUAA
Molecule: unclassified non-coding RNA, 315 nt
Filed under: Ornithinibacillus halophilus
Lineage: Bacteria; Bacillati; Bacillota; Bacilli; Caryophanales; Bacillaceae
Description: Long range pseudoknot
Source: RNAcentral